Molecule: ribosomal RNA, 494 nt
Filed under: uncultured bacterium
Lineage: Bacteria
Description: partial 16S ribosomal RNA
Rfam family: Bacterial small subunit ribosomal RNA
Source: RNAcentral
GACGAACGCUGGCGGCGUGCUUAACACGUGCAAGUCGAACGGAAAGGCCUGCUUUCCCUUGUGGAUUGCGGGUACUCGAGUGGCGAACGGGAGAGUAACACGUGAGUGAUCUGCCCCCAACUUGGGUAUAAGCCUGGGAAACUGGGUCUAAUUCCCGAUAGGACUGCAGGGUGGUGCCUGUGGUGGAAAACGAUUUUCUAGUGGUUGGGGAUGAGCUCGCGGCCUAUCAGCUUGUUGGUGGGGUAAUGGCCUACCAAGGCGGCGACGGGUAGCCGGCCUGAGAUGGUGGACGGCCACAUUGGGACUGAGAGACGGCCCAGACUCCUACGGGAGGCAGCAGUGGGGAAUAUUGCACGAUGGGCGGAAGCCUGAUGCAGCGACGCCGCGUGGGGGAUGACGGCCUUCGGGUGGUAAACUCCUUUCGACCGCGAGGAAGCCACCUGGUUGGAAGGGUGGUGACGGUAGUGGUAGAAGAAGCACCGGCUAACUACGUG